GUGCACCAGUCGCGAAACUUUACAAUGUGCGAAAGCACGAUAAGGGAACUCUGAGUGCCUCCUAAGGAGGCUGUUCAGGUGUCUAAAAGCACCUGAAGGAAGGGCAGGGUAAGACCGGUGCCAGCCGCCGCGGUAACACCGGCAGCCCAAGUGGUAGCCACGUUUAUUGGGUCUAAAGCGUCCGUAGCCGGCUGGGUAAGUUCCUUGGGAAAUUUGGCUGCUUAACAGUCAAGCUUUCAGGGAAUACUGCCCGGCUUGGGACCGGGAGAGGUCAGAGGUACUCCAGGGGUAGGGGUGAAAUCCAUUAAUCCUUGGGGGACCACCGGUAGCGAAGGCGUCUGACCAGACCGGGUCCGACGGUGAGGGACGAAGGCUAGGGGCGCGAACCGGAUUAGAUA
This 398-nucleotide ribosomal RNA is filed under the name uncultured microorganism. RNAcentral describes it as "bacterial SSU rRNA". It matches the Rfam family "Archaeal small subunit ribosomal RNA", at positions 330 to 735 of the family's 1478-position model. The record is from RNAcentral.